This is an RNA transcript of Acanthochromis polyacanthus (spiny chromis), 8621 nucleotides long. It is a transcript of the gene named arf-GAP with coiled-coil, ANK repeat and PH domain-containing protein 2, with no coding region annotated. Lineage: Eukaryota; Metazoa; Chordata; Actinopteri; Pomacentridae. The transcript is spliced from 26 exons. The record is from RefSeq and is a predicted model, not a curated record.
CUCCCUCCGUCCCUCCAUAGACGAUCUGUGCGGCUCUGUAGUAUUUGCUCUGGAGAAAAGCUCCUCUCCGUUGGCUGCUAUGACCGAUCUACCGGACCGCACUUUCUGUAUUCAGCAUUGACCGCUGCCUCGGAAAAAAAGAAAACACUUCUUGCGGCGUUUUUUGGCAACCGUACAUUCAACAUACCGUCGUUUAUGGUAGCAUUCCCGCGACUUUUUAAUCGUAGCUGCUGGCCUCCGGGGCUAGCUGGCUAGCCGAGCGGUGACAGAGUGGAGCCAGCUGGUCGGACACACACAGGGACGUUAGCAAACAAGCUAAUUAGCAGGAGAGACUGAGCCUGGAUUACUGUGUUUAAUCAAAGACAGCGCAGCUUUGCGGCUUUACUCACUGCGGCAAAAAUGAAGAUAACUGUGGAUUUCGAGGAGUGUUUGAAGGACUCCCCACGGUUCAGAGCCACCAUAGAGGAAGUGGAGGGGGAUGUGUGUGAGUUGGAAUCCAAACUCGACAAAUUGGUGAAAUUGUGUAUUGGGAUGAUUGAUGCUGGAAAAGCCUACAAUGCAGCGAACAAGCAGUUUGUUAAUGGGAUCCGGGAGCUUGCCCAGCAGUCCACCAAAGAUGAGGUCAUCGAGUCCAGCCUCACAAAGUUUGCCGAGAGUUUGCAGGAGAUGAUCAACUAUCACACGAUAUUAUUCGAUCAGGCCCAGAGAUCUAUCAAGACCCAACUUCAAACAUUUGUCAAAGAUGAUCUGCGCAAGUUCAAGGAGGCCAAGAAGCAAUUUGACAAAGUGAGCGAGGAAAAGGAGGCGGCACUGAUAAAAAAUGCUCAGGCUCCACGCAACAAACAACACGAGGUGGAGGAAGCCACCAACAUCCUCACUGCCACACGCAAGUGCUUCCGACACAUCGUUCUCGACUACGUCUUACAGAUAAAUGUCCUACAGUCUAAGAGAAGAUCAGAAAUCCUGAAAUCAAUGCUGUCCUUCAUGUACGCCCACCUGACUUUCUUCCACCAAGGCUAUGACCUCUUCAGUGAACUGCAACCUCUUAUGAAACAGCUGGGAGGACAGUUGGACCAGCUGGUGGUGGAUGCUGCCAAAGAGAAGAGGGACAUGGAGCAGAAACACUCCACCAUCCAACAAAAGGCUGCUCUGCAGGAGGUGACAGAGAUCGACUAUUUACCAGACUGCCGCAACUUUUGCGCUUGGAGGUCGACCUCCGAUUUCUCGAAUGACGACACCAAGCUGGAGUACAAUGUGGAUGCAGACAAUGGCAUCGCAAUGGAGGGCUAUCUGUUUAAAAGGGCCAGCAAUGCCUUCAAGACAUGGAAUAGGCGUUGGUUCUCCAUCCAAAACAAUCAGCUAGUUUACCAGAAGAAAUUUAAGGACAACCCUACAGUGGUGGUAGAAGAUCUGAGACUAUGUACAGUCAAACACUGUGAGGACAUUGAGCGUCGCUUCUGUUUUGAAGUGGUGUCACCCACUAAGAGCUGUAUGAUGCAGGCAGACUCGGAGAAGCUGCGACAGGCUUGGAUCAAAGCUGUUCAGAACAGCAUCGCCACCGCCUUCCGCGACAAGGGAGAUGACGGCGAGAAGCUGGAUAGGAAGUCGUCCACAUCAACAGGGAGUCUGGACUCUGGUGGGGAGCCAAAGGAGAGAUCACUGAAAGGAGAGAGUGCCCUGCAGAAGGUCCUGGCCAUCCCAGGAAAUGCCUGCUGCUGCGACUGUGGACAGCCUGAUCCCCGGUGGGCCAGCAUCAAUCUGGGCAUCACCCUCUGUAUACAGUGCUCUGGCAUCCACAGGAGUCUGGGAGUUCAUUUCUCUAAGGUUCGGUCUUUGACUUUGGAUACAUGGGAGCCAGAACUGCUUAAGUUGAUGUGUGAACUGGGGAACAAAGUGAUCAACCAGAUCUAUGAAGCUCGGCGAGAGGAGCUCGGAGCCAGAAAACCACAGCCAGGAGACCCAAGACAUGAGGUUGAGGCCUACAUCAAAGCCAAGUAUGUGGAUCGCAGAUUCAUCCGCCGGCCGUCAGAUGAGGAGCUGCGUAACAAAGUGAUUUCUCUGAGCAAGCAGGAGAAGAGGCUGAGCAGCAGCUCUGAACAUCUGCCACCAAGACCGCCCCCACCCACCCCGAAACUUCGGCCUGGUUCUAACGUCUCUGGACAGUCAGCUGCUGCCGGCGGCGCGGAGGCUCGCCGCGACUCUCUCUUCUGUCCUGACGAGCUUGACUCGCUCUUCUCCUACUUUGACACCUCCUCCAAGCUCAGGAGCAUGAAGAGUGCAGACAGCGGUAUUCAGAACAGCGCUGAUGGGAGCAGGGAGAUGCUGGCCAACACCCCCUCCAACAACAGCCUGGCAGAUGCAGACGCUGCUGAGUCUCCGCCUAUGCCCAUGCCUGCCACGCUGCCUCCUCCGUCACCCUGUAAGGAAAUGGUCUUCUACGAGCCCAAGGAGUACAGUCCAGGUCUGCAGCUCUACUGGGCGUCAUGCGCCCGCAGCCUGCCGGACAUGGCGGAGGCUUUAGCCCACGGAGCUGAAGUCAACUGGGUCAACACAGAUGAAGAGAAGAGGACGCCGCUCAUCAUGGCGGUGCAGGGGGGUUCACUGGUCACCUGUGAGUUUCUGCUCCAAAACGCAGCUAAUGUGAACCAGCAGGACACUCAGGGGCGAGGACCCCUCCACCAUGCCACCAUGCUGGGACACACAGGGCAAGUGUGUCUCUUCUUGAAAAGAGGAGCAAAUCAAAAUGCUGCAGACAUUGAUGAGAAAACACCCCUGACUAUAGCGGUGGAAGCAGCCAAUGCAGAUAUUGUCACACUGUUGCGACUGGCCAAGAUGAAUGAGGAGAUGCGGGAGGCGGAGGGGCCCUACAGCCAGUCAGGUCAAUAUAACACCAAUAGCCCCACCGAGAUGCAGUACAGGAAGUGCAUGCAGGAGUUUAUUAGCCUACAGCUGGACGAAUCGGAAUAACUGUCCACUCGUCUAAACACGGGGGCAACUAAAACCAGGCUUCAGACAUAUAGAGCUCUGGUUUCAGAGUUGGAGUCAGUUAACUUAAAAUCAGCAGAUGAAACACAGUGUGACAUCAUACCUAAAGCAGACAAUUCACUCUCAGUGGUUUCAUUACAAAUUGGGGCAACUAUUUUCAAGAGACAUCCGGGUUCGAGGAACUUGAUCCACUGACUGAUUAGAGUGAACUGAUCCCAGCUCUGCCAGAUGUGCUCUUCUGUCCUGCUGUAAUAACUUCCAUUUUAAGCUUCCAGCUGCUGCCAGGUGCUGCACCUUGUUGUGACACAGAGCCAGGUGCUGGUCUGUGUUAAUGUGACAAAGUUAAAGCCAUUGACUCUGGACAAUACUGAAGAGUUUUGUUCCAAAAUGGAACCUCCUCCUUUUCCAUUCAGUGACUGCUACUCCAGUCAAAUUACUGAGAGCACAAAAUGGAAAGAAAUGGUGUCACUUUCUACUUGAUAGUCUGUAUCUCCUUUAAGUUUAAAUUGUUCUGCUUGAAGAUUUCCUCUGUUUUAGAGAUGUUCAGUGAUUUCUUGCAGAUGAGAACAGGUUUUUUUUCUUUUUCUAAACGGAUUCUGUGUGUCUGCUGACAGUCACAGUAUCUUUGCAAAAAAAAAAAAACUAUCUACCCUGUAACUGCCACCUGUAUACAGUGACGCUCAGACCUCAGCGGGGCGGCAGUUUUCACUACAGUAUCUGGCAAUAAUAGUGACUUUUGAAUGAUAUUUUAUUCGUCUGACCAGUCUGGAGAGGCGUGUUGUGUGUCUAAGUUUCAUUUUCAAUUGACCUGUCAGAAGAAAUGUAUGCACAUUCCUAUUAAUGUUUAUGCAACUUCUGUACCUUUUCUCAUUUGAAGUCUUAACCAGUUUGAAGGCCUGUUUACUUAUUUGUUGUCCAAACAUGAUGCAUCUUGCUGUUGUUACUUGCCUGGUCAAAAAGAAAGUCUAUUUUAGAACAGUUUUCUUUUGUAAAAACAUAACUCUAGUAACCGUAUAAUAAUGGUUCUUACUGUACAUGUUGUAAAUGAUGUGCAAACAUACAUUUCUCAUUAGUCUGCAUUUGACAGAAUAAGCAGAGUUUAGAGUGACUCUGGCUGCACGGGGGGGAGUGCCAAGAGGACUCUGUGUUCACAUCCUUGCUUUUCUUUGUUUGAUUGUGCGGUAUUUACUUCCUCUUAUGACAAUGUUGUGUCUUGGUUAUUAGUCGGUUAACUGUGCUUGUUCAUUGCCCGUAAUCAAGGGAAAUCCAGAAUUGUAAGGAUGAAGGGCCUUUUUGUGCCGCUGCAUUGAUCUUCUCGAAUGUUGGUGGAUUUUUACUCGAAUAUAGACAAACCAUUUGAGGAUGGUACAUCGUCAAGCAACCAGUGCAAUAGUCUAGAAAAAUAUCCACAUAUAACAUGUAUAACUUUGUAUCACCUGCUAGUCCUAGCUUAUAUUUAUCUUAAUCAUGUGGGAGCUUUACAAGAAUAAAAAAAACUAAAUCUAGACAUUCACAAAGAAUGUGGAAAGAGUUGAGCUUGAUGCUCAUUUUAGUUUUGUCGAUAGUAAAUGAAUGAUUGGAAUGUACCCCAGUUUCAUCCCACAUCUUCGCUUCAUGCAGCCCAAGAUCCUCGGAGGGCACCAAAGCACUUUGAUUAAAUGUUGAUUGAAAGAGCAGCUGCUGCUGGCACAACAGUGUGUGAUGUUUUGAGCGGCAGGCUUGCUUGGAGAUGUGCUCGGGAGUUAAAAACAGGGUUUACUGAUCGUGUUGAUUGUUUUUACUGGCAAGUAAAGUCUUCUGUCCGUUAGAGUAGAUGCUGAGAGUUCUCCUUAGGUUGUGGAUCAAAGGGAUUUGUGCAUUUCUGUGUGCUGACCACAUGAGGGAGGGCUGAGCUCACAAAUGUCAGUCAUUUGUCCUUAAGGAAUGGAGGAUUUUACACCGAGGGCUAAAUGUGUAGCUGGACUGUUAUUAGCCUGUUAGCUGCUUUUUUUAGAGAUGGAAUGUCUUUUGUGGUUGUUUAUGCUUUUAAAUAUUCAGUUAGGAAUAUUGUGGACCUGAAUGAGAACAAAUGCCUAGAAGUUCUUUUUUGUGUGUUUGUUUUUUUUUAGCUUGUGAAAUGUUUAUUGAUAGACAUUGAUUUAGAAACAACUUGUGGCUGUUGCUUUAAAGGUCAACAACAGAUAAUCUAGACACAGAGAGGAACAGAAGGAGGUUUGCGUUUAGUAGAAGGAGCAAAAUAGAGUCUGAAGUAUGUGCUUCCAGUCACUGAAUGAUCCUCGUUGUGCUCGGCGAGAGGAUUCGCCUUGUUGCAGACGUCGGCUCCGUCCUCUUCGAUACCUUAGAACCUCUUCAUCAGCACCUCCAAUCAGCUGAUGAAUGAUGGAACUGAUGAGGGAUGUUCAGGGGUAACGAAUGUGAGGGAGACCUAACCUCAUCAAACCUCUCUCGCCUUUUUUUAUUUAAAUUGCAGUUCUCUUGACUCAAGAGUUUCUACCUGAUUAAGUGUGUGGAAGUGCAGAGCAGCGGUUCUCAGUCUUGGGGUUUCUCUGUGUUUAUUGUGGGCAUUUCAGCAUUAAUGUUCUGAUAUCGGGAGGGAAAUAUACAUAUAUAUUUUUUUAACAUAAUGAUUAUUCUUUUAAGGUUUUCCUAAAUAUCCAUUUCUUUAAUCGGUAUUUUAUGUAGUCUUCUACACUGAUUUUAAAAAGCAGAAAUUGUCACUUGAAACUCCACCAGACUGAGAACCGCUGGUCUGGUAGAAGAUGAGGCUCUUUGUUUUCUAUAACUUAUUAUUGCUCUCAUUCACUUCUCUCCAUGUAAAUUGGCUCUCUCUGUUUUGUAUUUUUCUUUUCUUUCUCACUCUCCUCCCCAGAGUUUGUGCCUUUCUUCUGUUCUCUUUUUUCUUUGGGGUGCUGAGGCCAACACAACUGUAUUUUUGUACAUAAACUCCUGCACUUUAAACACAAUACAGUUGUUGACAAAACUCAUGUCUGUGGGCUUGUCUUUUCUUUUGGACUGAUUCUCAUGCCGCUAACGGUAGCCUCGCUGGCUGUUUUCUUAAAACAUUUGCCUUUUGCUUCUUCUGUUCUUGCCAUCUUUUCUCCCUCUGCGUUGUUCUGUUUCAUAUUUCGAGCCACGCCGACACUCUUGACAGGAGAUGAAACCUACCAGGACAUUUUCCAGGACUUCACCCACAUGGCGUCCAACGAUCCAGACAAGCUGAACCGCUACCAGCAGUACGACCCUCAGAGACCCUGACACUGAAGGAGCACCGUCCACUAGCGGUCAGAUAGACUCACAGGAACUAUGAGAUGUGUGGAAUGACGUCCGCUUUCCCUCCAGCAUCAUUCAGAAACAGUUUUAAAGCAGCAGCCUGUGCUUAGCUGCUGCAAACACACAUCAUAUCUAAUGCGGCCGAAGCUCCCUUUGAUCAAUUUCAUUUUGUUUGCAACUUUUGUUUGAAACUUCAAGCAUUUCAGUCAAGUGAAGGGGGAACGUCUGUGAGUGGAUCUCACUUUUAAUCUUUUAAACUGUGCUUCUCAGUAGGGCCUAUUACAUUAAGUAAAUGGUACAGUGUUAAAGCCUUUGAACGGAUUUGCAAAGGCACUAGUGCUAAUUGAACUUGGUCUGAAUGUAGAGCGGCCAUCAGGGCUGUCAGUUAUUUUGGCCGAGUUCAAUUUUUCAUGUCACACUUCCUGAUAGGAGAAAGUCUCUUUUUUCAGACUGUUAAAUACGUCUUUUCAUUUUUAAAGCGUUUUCUCUUUGCAAUAGGAUCUUUAUAAGCAUCAUUUUUGUAUCACAGUUUUGCUUUAGAGAACUCUCCGCAGCCUUAUACACGGCAGCAAGCUUUUACUUAUUUGCACAAAUUGCUUUGUCUUAAAUCGCCACUGAGGUUUACCAGUUUUGAUGGUAACUUUGACACGUUAAACAGUGUACAGUGCUUAUGGAAGCAAACCUGUUAUUGAUUUAUGUAAUGUUAAAUAGAUAGUAGUUGAUCUGAAAGGACUUUUACAUGCUUGUGUUUUUUAAAAUAUGUUUUUCUGAUUGAAUUUUCCAUGUUAUUACCUGCAGCACAUGUUAAUGAGGCACUCAGCCCUUCAGCACCGAAGUUCUGUGGGAUUAAAAUGGCGCGAGUUGUUUUGAAAUGGUUGUUUAUUUGUAGAUUCACUCUGAAGCUGGUAUGAGAUCAACAGUAUCGACCUGCAGAAUACCUGAGGGUUUAGACGUGCAGGUAAUACUUUGUUUUAUAGAUCCAGCAUUUUCCAAAUAUUUCCUAAGUGGAACUGUGCGAGAUUUUUCUUGAACACCUCCGUCAAAACCUAACAAAAGUUCAUUCAGUCCUUUGUUUUCCCCCAUUGUCACUGUUGUGACAAGUGACAAUAACUACAGCUUCUUACUACCAGAUCCAGAAUUCAGGAGGUAGCAAAUACGAACUGAGCAGCUUCUUCAUCAGAAGUACAACAGAAAAGCUCCUGGCACGUGUUUACAGCACAGCCAAACAGAGCUGGUUUGUUGUUGAAUAUAGAUCAGCAUAAAUAAAGCCUUCUAUCCGUCACGCCAUUAGAAACCACAGGUUGGUUUCAUUCUGUGCACGGCGUCAUUAGUUUUACCCACAACAGCAGCACAGUUUGACACCUCGCUGAAGACUUGGAGGUUUGAAAAGGGUCGCCUGCAACUCUUCAUCUUCAUUCUUCAUCGCUGCAGCUGCUCCUUAUUGCUGAACGAAUCCCGAUGAGGAAGGUAAAACUGAUCCGCUCGCUAAAAACCCUGACAAAGACUGUUGUUUUGUAGAGAAAUACAUAAACAGCAGCACUGCGUCUUGUCCUGAGAAUCACUUGUGUGUAGUUCAGCCAACUGAAACAGACUGUCACCAACAAUAGAAAGGACUAUUUACAGUAGACAGAUGAGUAUUGAAUGUAAAUACUUUGAACUGAUAGUGCUGGCACAAGGCUGACCUUAAAUUAGGUUCAAUUAAAAUUUUAUAAUAUUACAUCCAAUUCUUACCUCGCUGACCUACUGCUGUUAUUCAGGCAGAUAAGUGGAAUUGAUUUGAUGUUCAGCAGUUGAACCCUGUAUGUAAAACACUUCACCUGUCAAUGUAACAUAUUAGGAAGUCAAUAUGAAAUGGUUAGGGAAAUUAGAAACCUGUAAAAUGAAGUGUUACAGAAAUACUGCACAUAAACCAAACUGCCCGUUGAGAUUCUGUAAACGUGUGAGUUGUGUUGAGACAUUUUCAGUUCCAGAGCGACUCUGUACAACCUUCUUUAGACGCCUGCAGGUGAAAUCUUCCAGCCUGAAAGUGAAUUCUGCAGAUUUAUUCCCAGGAGUUUUGUGAUUGUCUCUGUGUUGGUCUUUGACACUUCAACAUACAGAUAGAUAUGAUGUUAACCGUUAUUUGGCCGAUGCGACAUGGGAUACAAUUCUUGUACAUUUUGUACAGAUGCUUUUGAAAUCUCCAGAGGACUGAAGUAUAAAGUUAGUGGUACUUGAAUCAUUAAAUAAGCUUUUGUAUAUGCUGUUCUUUGUAUCCUUCAAUGAAUUUAGCCCGUUUUAUAUCACCUGUCUGUACACCAGUAUACAUGUGUUGUAUAGUACACCUGUAACAUGCAAAGACUUCAAUACAUACCGUCUAAGAUUCA